UACCCGCUGAAUUUAA
RNAcentral lists this ribosomal RNA (16 nucleotides) under Stephanocyclus meneghinianus. RNAcentral describes it as "Cyclotella meneghiniana partial 28S ribosomal RNA". The record is from RNAcentral. RNAcentral also lists the same sequence under 2 other names. Lineage: Eukaryota; Bacillariophyta; Thalassiosirophyceae; Thalassiosirales; Thalassiosiraceae.